Oreochromis niloticus (Nile tilapia) is the source of this 385-nucleotide long non-coding RNA. RefSeq lists it as uncharacterized. NCBI's taxonomy places the organism in Eukaryota, Metazoa, Chordata, Actinopteri, Cichliformes, Cichlidae. The record is from RefSeq and is a predicted model, not a curated record. The transcript has 3 exons.
UCUCCAUAACACACACCUGGGAGCAACAUGAUAAUUAGUUACAGUUUUAUUUCAGCGGGAAUCUGAUCCAAAACAUAAAUGAAGGAAUAGGAACCUAAGGGACACUGGAAUUUCCCGAACAACCGAACCCUUAAAAGCACCUCCCCAUCCUUCCGCCAGGCUGUGGUCAUUGGUGAAUCACUGCUGCUGGACGCAAUGCAGCUCAGAGUCACAUUGUUUCCCCGCAGUGCAACAGACGUCUCUGGUACCUAUAAUGGCAGGCUGGGAAUAAUUAAAACAAGAAAAAAAGACUGACCACAAACAAACUCUUCCGGGCUGAUGGACAGGACAUUGCGACCGAGCAGAUUCACAGGAUGGGCACAGAUAGCACUGACAGACUGCUGGA